Phoenix dactylifera (date palm) is the source of this 268-nucleotide non-coding RNA. NCBI's taxonomy places the organism in Eukaryota, Viridiplantae, Streptophyta, Magnoliopsida, Arecales, Arecaceae. The record is from RefSeq and is a predicted model, not a curated record.
CUCUUCAACGACCGACCGACGGCUCUUCGCGUCCUUCUCCCCCGGACGGCAACCUCUGCGGCUCCGGUCACCGACUCACAGUCACCGGUUUUGAGAGUUAGAAGAUGCAAGGAUGUUCUUAUACAGUUUUCUAUUAUGGAAGUGGCUUCAAGAAUUAUGAUUACAUUUACUUUUGAAUGCACAAAGAUGCAUGUUUGUUAUAAUGUUAAUGGGACAAUGUAAUUUGUAUUUUGUCUAAAUAUGUAAUUGUCUAAGUUUGUAGUUUUUA